RNAcentral lists this ribosomal RNA (497 nucleotides) under uncultured bacterium. RNAcentral describes it as "partial 16S ribosomal RNA". It matches the Rfam family "Bacterial small subunit ribosomal RNA", at positions 28 to 507 of the family's 1533-position model. The record is from RNAcentral.
GAUGAACGCUGGCGGCGUGCCUAAUACAUGCAAGUCGAGCGAACAGAUAAGGAGCUUGCUCCUUUGAAGUUAGCGGCGGACGGGUGAGUAACACGUGGGUAACCUACCUAUAAGACUGGGAUAACUUCGGGAAACCGGAGCUAAUACCGGAUAACAUUUAGAACCGCAUGGUUCUAAAGUGAAAGAUGGUUUUGCUAUCACUUAUAGAUGGACCCGCGCCGUAUUAGCUAGUUGGUAAGGUAACGGCUUACCAAGGCGACGAUACGUAGCCGACCUGAGAGGGUGAUCGGCCACACUGGAACUGAGACACGGUCCAGACUCCUACAGGAGGCAGCAGUAGGGAAUCUUCCGCAAUGGGCGAAAGCCUGACGGAGCAACGCCGCGUGAGUGAUGAAGGGUUUCGGCUCGUAAAACUCUGUUAUUAGGGAAGAACAAAUGUGUAAGUAACUGUGCACAUCUUGACGGUACCUAAUCAGAAAGCCACGGCUAACUACGUG